UAAAAAACGUUGAUAGAGAAGAGUAGCUUGCAAAAUCGCCAUAUAGGGAGAGAAUGCCGUAGACUGAAAGCAUUCUUAUGGUAGACGGAAGUGAAUUCACCUCUGGAGUUGACGCCAGGACCAUAUAUAUGUAAAGGCGUUCCGGUCUAAGAAGCCGUUAUAACAAUUAAGUGGGCAGACUUGUUCUGUCAAUUUAGGGUGGUACCGCGAAUUUACCUCGUCCCUUUU
RNAcentral lists this non-coding RNA (228 nucleotides) under Bacillus gaemokensis. RNAcentral describes it as "T-box sequence". It matches the Rfam family "T-box leader". From Rfam's summary of the family: Uncharged tRNA acts as the effector for transcription antitermination of genes in the T-box leader family. Lineage: Bacteria; Bacillati; Bacillota; Bacilli; Caryophanales; Bacillaceae. The record is from RNAcentral.